ACGGGUGAGUAAUAUAUCGGAACGUGCCCAAUCGUGGGGGAUAACGUAGAGAAAUUUACGCUAAUACCGCAUACGAUCUAAGGAUGAAAGCGGGGGAUCGCAAGACCUCGCGCGAUUGGAGCGGCUGAUAUCAGAUUAGGUUGUUGGUGAGGUAAAAGCUCACCAAGCCGACGAUCUGUAGCUGGUUUGAGAGAACGACCAGCCACACUGGGACUGAGACACGGCCCAGACUCCUACGGGAGGCAGCAGUGGGGAAUUUUGGACAAUGGGCGAAAGCCUGAUCCAGCAAUGCCGCGUGCAGGAAGAAGGCCUUCGGGUUGUAAACUGCUUUUGUACGGAACGAAACGGUCUGCCCUAAUACGGCGGGCUAAUGACGGUACCGUAAGAAUAAGCACCGGCUAACUACGUGCCAGCAGCCGCGGUAAUACGUAGGGUGCGAGCGUUAAUCGGAAUUACUGGGCGUAAAGCGUGCGCAGGCGGUUAUGUAAGACAGUUGUGAAAUCCCCGGGCUCAACCUGGGAAUUGCAUCUGUGACUGCAUAGCUAGAGUACGGUAGAGGGGGAUGGAAUUCCGCGUGUAGCAGUGAAAUGCGU
RNAcentral lists this ribosomal RNA (593 nucleotides) under Polaromonas sp. StTD757. RNAcentral describes it as "bacterial SSU rRNA". It matches the Rfam family "Bacterial small subunit ribosomal RNA", at positions 102 to 691 of the family's 1533-position model. The record is from RNAcentral. Lineage: Bacteria; Pseudomonadati; Pseudomonadota; Betaproteobacteria; Burkholderiales; Comamonadaceae.